This 404-nucleotide ribosomal RNA is filed under the name uncultured Anaerovorax sp. RNAcentral describes it as "partial 16S ribosomal RNA". It matches the Rfam family "Bacterial small subunit ribosomal RNA", at positions 355 to 774 of the family's 1533-position model. Lineage: Bacteria; Bacillati; Bacillota; Clostridia; Peptostreptococcales; Anaerovoracaceae. The record is from RNAcentral.
UGGGGAAUAUUGCACAAUGGGCGAAAGCCUGAUGCAGCAACGCCGCGUGAGCGAUGAAGGCCUUUGGGUCGUAAAGCUCUGUCCUUGGGGAAGAAAAAAAUGACGGUACCCAUGGAGGAAGCCCCGGCUAACUACGUGCCAGCAGCCGCGGUAAUACGUAGGGGGCGAGCGUUAUCCGGAAUUAUUGGGCGUAAAGAGUGCGUAGGUGGUUACGUAAGCGCGAGGUGAAAGGCAAUAGCUCAACUAUUGUAAGCCUUGCGAACUGUGUGACUUGAGUGCAGGAGAGGAAAGCGGAAUUCCUAGUGUAGCGGUGAAAUGCGUAGAUAUUAGGAGGAACACCGGUGGCGAAGGCGGCUUUCUGGACUGUAACUGACACUGAGGCACGAAAGCGUGGGGAGCAAACA